GCUGCCACUACACUCUCUCUCCCCUCCCCCUCCCCCUCAUAUCGUCGCUUUUACCCUUAGCUCAGGGCUCCGACCUCUCAACCCCUAAAUCGAAGCUCGUCUGGAUCGUCUCGACAUCUGCGGUAUGGCCUCGUCGUUGGACCUAAGCCUCAAUCUUGCUGGAACAACACUGAUGGCGAGCCAGAGGUGAUGCAGAGGCAUUUGAGGAGAGAAGCGAAGAGCCCAAGUAGAGCAGAGUCGUCGAGAGAAGCCAAUUUCGGGUUCCGACCGAUGGAAAAUCGGAGAAUUCUCAGCAGCAGCAACUGCAAACUAGUGGACGCGUCAUCGGUAGAGAGUGGGUGAUCGUCGUCAGAAGUGAGUCCUCCCGGGCGGCGAAGUCAGUACGAAUUUGAUGAGAGUUUUAGUGGAAGUGAGUAUCAGAGGCUUCCUCCUCCCCACAAUUGGAAACAGUUGAGCUCUCUCUCUCUCUCUCUCUCUCAAGUUGGCUUCGACGUCCUCUUUGACUAUCUCAAAGAUACACAAACAGGACACAUGGGCCAGGGUAAAAGAAAACAGAGGGAAGAAAGUGAAGAAGAAGCAGAAGUUCUAGCCAGGAAGAAAAAGAAGAGUAGCAAGGAAAAAGGAAAUUUUAGAAAUUUGUUUAUGGCUUAAGAUGUCACUGACCUGGCUAAUUGUAAACUCUAGCCUACCAAAUCAAAUAACUUUUUUAUCUUUUUAUGGUGUCAUUAGUAUGUUUAGUUUUCCUUAAUGAGCCACCAGCGACCAUGAACUUUUCUUAUUGUAACGCACUACUGCAACACUGGGAUUUGCAGCGGUGCAAGAUGCAAUUCAUGAUAGAGUUAUUUUUUCUGGUUUGAAAAA
Rosa chinensis is the source of this 861-nucleotide long non-coding RNA. RefSeq lists it as uncharacterized. The transcript is spliced from 2 exons. NCBI's taxonomy places the organism in Eukaryota, Viridiplantae, Streptophyta, Magnoliopsida, Rosales, Rosaceae. The record is from RefSeq and is a predicted model, not a curated record.